Molecule: transfer RNA, 74 nt
Filed under: Lithodesmioides sp. mgcode 4
Lineage: Eukaryota; Bacillariophyta; Thalassiosirophyceae; Lithodesmiales; Lithodesmiaceae
Description: tRNA-His
Rfam family: tRNA
About the family: Transfer RNA (tRNA) molecules are approximately 80 nucleotides in length. Their secondary structure includes four short double-helical elements and three loops (D, anti-codon, and T loops).
Source: RNAcentral
GGUGGAUAUAACUCAAUUGGUAGAGUGUUAGGUUGUGGUCUUAAAAGUUGCGAGUUCAAAUCUCGUUAUUCACC